UGACACUGAACAUUGAGCCUUGAUGUGUAGGAUAGGUGGGAGGCUUUGAAGUGUGGACGCCAGUCUGCAUGGAGCCGACCUUGAAAUACCACCCUUUAAUGUUUGAUGUUCUAACGUGGACCCGUUACCCGGGUUGCGGACAGUGUCUGGUGGGUAGUUUGACUGGGGCGGUCUCCUCCUAAAGAGUAACGGAGGAGCACGAAGGUUGGCUAAUCCUGGUCGGACAUCAGGAGGUUAGUGCAAUGGCAUAAGCCA
RNAcentral lists this ribosomal RNA (255 nucleotides) under Salmonella enterica subsp. enterica serovar Tennessee. RNAcentral describes it as "partial 23S ribosomal RNA". It matches the Rfam family "Bacterial large subunit ribosomal RNA", at positions 2112 to 2366 of the family's 2925-position model. The record is from RNAcentral. Lineage: Bacteria; Pseudomonadati; Pseudomonadota; Gammaproteobacteria; Enterobacterales; Enterobacteriaceae.